Molecule: long non-coding RNA, 7508 nt
Organism: Vespula vulgaris
Lineage: Eukaryota; Metazoa; Arthropoda; Insecta; Hymenoptera; Vespidae
Exons: 2
Source: RefSeq, a predicted model, not a curated record
CGUAUAUAUUUUAGUAUGAAAGACGAUCGUGAUUGAUAUUGUGUUACCUCAAACGUUAUGUUUACAUCGAACAAUAAUAUAUUAUCGUUUACACGAAGAAAUAGAUAUUUUGCGUUUCUUUUUUCUCACUUCGUUAAAAGUAAACACCAUAUACAUACUAUUCUACAUAACCUAAAAAAGAAAAAUAAAGAAAAGAAAAGAAAAAGAAGAAAGAAUUAAAAACAGAAAGGACAGAAGAAACGAGACGAAACGUAUUUCGACAAAAAGAAAACAAGAAAGAAAAGAAAAGAAAAAAAAAAAAAUCCAAACAAAAUACGAAACGCGAAUCGUUUCCGAACGAUUGGAAAGGUUAUGUGAUAACGAGAGAGCAAGAUGGUAGAAAAAGAAAAAAAAGAAAAAGAAAGAAAGAUGAAAAGGAAAGAAAGAAAAAAGAAAAAAGAAGAAGAAGAGUAUUCGAGAUCGCGUCAAAAUCGUUUCCAUGCGGAAGCUGCGAUCUUUGGUUUAAGAGAUCGUUCAAGACCGUUAACGUAGCUUACGAUUCUUGUCAGCUGCUGCUGUCUGGCGAGCAGAAGAGUCGACAUUGACGAUCACGUGUUCGUCCGAAUAUUAUCGGAGGACCAAUAAAAAGCGUAGAAAAUAAAUAAACAAAAGAAUGAACAAGCAAAUAAAUAAAUCGAUAAAUAAAUAAAUAAAUCAAUCAAUCGAUCAAUCAAUCAAUCAAUUAAAAAAAGAAAAAGAAAGAGAAAGGAAAAGAAGAAUAAAAAAAUAGCUUUACGUCGUGAGAUACUAAGGACGUUACGAAUAAAUCGAAAUGUUACAAAUUCGUCGAUGACGGCUCGACAUAUUGGAAGUUGUUAUCGUAAAAAAUAAUUUUUCAUUCCUACUUUCGUUAAAAUAUAUAUCUGACGGUGAACGAAAUAAAAUAAGGAAGAGAAAAGAUGAUCGAAAAUAAAGAAAGUAAGAAAGCGUGUUUGUACGAAGUUCGAAUAAUCGAAAUAAUUUCUGUGUUAUCAAAAAUGAAUCGACAAAGCUUGAUCGGGAUAAGUGUGUAAAAGAGAUGGCGUUGAUGAUACUCUAGCAACGUACUGACGUCUGACUAUCGUGCGUGUAGUAUUCUGUUUACAUGUAGAACGUAAUAAGCAAGGACAUACACGCACGUUAUACAUAUCUACCUAUACAAAUGCGGACACACUUACGCCAUCGUCAAAGCUAAAUAAACAUACGUAUAUAUAUAUAUAUAUACACACGUUUCUAAGCGUAAAUUCGCGAGUCGCGUGCCAGAUGUCGCUGCGAUCUCGCGAUCAGCCACGCGAAGUCGAAGAAAAAUUUUAACAAGAAAAAAGAAAAGGAAAAAGAUAAGGAAAAGAACAAAAAAAAAUAACAAGGAGAAAAAGAACAAGUAGAAGAAGGUAAUAUAGAAGAGAAAUAAUAAAAAGAAUAAGAUAUCGGAUGCUGGAUUAAAGAGGAAGAGAGGAAAAGGAGGAUAUGGAUGAGGAUGAGGAUGAGGAUGAGGAUGAGGAUGAGGAUGAGGAUGAGAAAGGAAAAAAAAAAUUAAAAAAAGAAAAAGAAGAAGGAAAGUGGGUAACGGAUAAGCGGUAGAGUUACGUCGUGAUGGUCUAAGAGAUUCUAGGCGCGGUCGCGGCCAAGGGUCCGUUAUAAUCCCACCCAAUGGCUACCGUCGUACCAAUGAACAAGAUGCUUUUACAUUUUACUUCCUCAAUGUGAUUUCUUCUUCUAUUUCUAUUUCUAUUUCUUUUCUUUUCUUUUCUUUUUUUUUUCUUUCUUUGUUUCUUCGUUUUCUUCUUCUUCUACUUUUACUUCUACUUCUUCUUUUUCUAUUUCCUCGCUGUGUCGAGAACUAUUUCUCGAACAUUCCAUUAAUUUAUUUUCUAUCUAUCUUAAUAAGAUAUAUGAUAUAAGUAAUCUCCUUGUUCAAGAUAAAAAAUAAUUUGUGUUAAAUUAUAAUAUCGUAAAUAUUGACAGAUUAUAUAUAUGUGUGUGUGUGUAUUUGUAAUUAUAGAAUAUUAUUACACUGUAAAUUAUAGAUCUGUUUAUCUAUAAAUAAUGCUGUGUGUGUGUGUGUGUGUGUGUGUGUGUGUAGAUCUAUUUAUAAUUUAAAGUUAGUAUAAAUACGAUUAAUGUAUCAUAAUCGAAAUUAUUAUUCAAUCUGAUUGGUUAAUAAUUUUUAAUAUUUUAAUAUUUCACAUACAUAUGUAUAUAAAUAUAUAAAUAAUGUUAGUAUUGAUUUUUUUUUCUUUUUUUUUUAGUUAAAAAUCUUUUAAUAUGUCGGUCGAAUCAGGAAUAUAAUUUUGUUUAAAAUCGUAUCUUUGCUUUGCAACGUAUUAUUUAUCAAUCAAUAGUAAUAUCAUCGCGAGAAACAAAUUGUUCUUCGUUGAAAAUGUAUUCGACUAAUACAUUUUCUUUUUCUCUCUCAUCAAGAACAUUUUGUACUCGCUUUUUCUCUCUGAUUUUCCAAUCCGUUCUUGACGUUAUAAAGAGGAAAAGUUGCAUCGUCGAGAGAAAUACUGAUCGAUGACGUUAGAUUUGCCGAGUCUCUCGUGAUCGAUGAAAACUAAUAUGGAUACAGUAAACAGAGCUCUCUCUCUCUCUCUCUCUCUCUCUCUCUCUCUCUCUCUCUCUCUCUCUCUUUUGCACUCUAUCAUUCAAUGCAAAAAAAAAAAAAGAAAGAAAGAAAGAAAGAAAAAGAGAAAAAGAUUGCUGACUUCAUUUAUUAAGUAUAAUAUACUUAUAUACUUUUAUUACGCUUAUGCAAGUUAUUUCUCAAGUUUCUUUUCACGAUUCUAACUAAAAUGGACGACAUCUUUGAUGGACAGAGAAGAAGGAUAUAAGAAAGAAUGAUUAUUUUUACACAAAGGAAACAUUACAUAUUGUAUGUAAAUGCGACUGAGUGAUUCAGAUUUUCUAUAUGAAAAGAGGAAGAACUUUAUAAACUAACAUGCCUCGUCCCGUUGUAUUUACAAAAUACAAAAUACUUUAAAGAAAAAACAACGAUAAGUUAUAUGUUGAAUGUAAUAUUAGCGUUAGACUUUUAUUCCAUUUUGAAUAAAAAAUUUCACAAAGGCAAAAAUCCUCGAGCUCGAGAUGAGGAAGAGAGAAAAAUUUACGCGAGAUUCUAUAUCAAAGGAAUAUAUAUACACACACUCAUGUGUGUGUGUGUGUGUGUGUAUGACCUACGAUACAAUGAAAUCUCGAACAAAGGCAAACGCGUUUUAACAAGUAAAGAAGUAUGUUUUCUAGUAAUUCAUAGAAUUAUGUACAUACAUCCAUCUAUCUAUCCAUCCAUACAUACAUACAUACAUACAUACAUACAUACAUACAUAUGUAAGUACAUAUCAAUAUACGUACGUAUAUAUUUUCGUAUCUCUAUGCGAGCAAGAAAGAGAGUUUGAGAGUUUGAUAAAGAAAAAGAAAGAAAGAGAGAGAGAGAGAGAGAAGAAACAAUUCGGAAGACAUUAGAUAAGAUUCGUACUUGGUUGGACUUUACGUAAGCGCGACUUCUCGUGAGAUGCCGGCAAUGAAUAAAAAAAAAGAAAAAGAAGAAGAAGAAGAAGAAGAAGAAGAAGAAGAAGUAGGAGGAGGAGGAUGAGGAGGAGGAAAGAGAGGUAAGAGGUAGAUAGGACUCGACUCGACGUCGUUCUGUCGGUCGAGAAAAACAAGUGAGGCGUUCUCUCUGGACUAGGCAAACCGAGCGAAAGAGAGCCGUGGCAAGGUCUAGGUUGGCUGCUAUUCAAGGUCGCGUGCAGAGCGCAAAGCCCGGAUCUAUCCCCGCCCCAGAUUUCAAGCGCCCUUUACUUCUUCCUCUCCUCUUCUAUCACUGCCUCUUUCUCUUUCUCUCUUUCUCUCUUUUAUACAUACACAUACAUAUACAUUCUUAUCCAUAGAGAUACGACUCUCUUGCUUUUUCUCUCUCGCUCGUAUCUACGCACCUAUACGUGUAUAUAUAAACACACAUACAUUUAUAUAUAUAUAUAUUUUACAGUACAUGUGUAGGUAGUAGGAUCAACACGUAUACGUAACACGUGUAUUUCUAAAUGUAUAACAGAGAGAGAGAGAGAGAGAGAGAGAGAGGGACGAAUCAACGUAUACAUACGAAAGACAUAUGUUUACAUGUACGAGUGACAGAGAGAGAGAGAGAGAUACGGACUGAUAUAUAUACAUAUAUAUAUAUGUGUGUGUGUGUAUAUAUAUAGGUAUAUAUACAGUUGUAUACACAGAGGAAAAAGAUAGACGCAGUCACACGGUCCACAAAUCGCGAAUUCCCCUUUUCACCCAUCUGUCUGCCACACGCGUUCCUCUUUCCUCUCUCUCCGUUCCCUCCCUUCUUCUAUUCCACUCCUUGUGACCGCUUUCGUCCUCUUCUCUCUCUCUCUCUCUCUCUCUCUCUCUCUCUCUCUCUCUCUCUCUCUCUUUCUCUCUGUCGCGCUUGAAUCGCGUGCAACAUCGAUUUACCCAUAAAAUUUUCCUGCGCUCGACGAGUCUCUAUCGCUCGCGACCAUCGGGCUUCUUGCCCGGGGCUCCCAACAACAACGUUUCAUUUCCCGAUUCUUUAUUCUAAUUCAUAAUGGAAGGACAAUAACUAUUCUUUUAAGAUCUGUGAAAAUCCUUCGUCGAUUUUUUUUACUCUUUUUUCUUUUCCCACGUUAACGUAUAUGUGUAUGGAUGUAUAUAUAUAUAUAUAUAUAUAUAGAAAAAGAGAGAGAGAGAGAGAGACACCUGUAUAUACAUAAACGGACGAAUAUGCAAUAGCAGACAAGAUAUAUAUGUACAUGUUACAUCUUAUAAGUAGAUAGACGUAUUAUACACAAGGCCGUUACGUGGAAGAACGAUUGGAUCUACUUGACUAAGAGGAAAAAGGCCGUGUAUUCGAGUCCGUCAUGGAAGGACGAACAAGACGUAAGUAUACGCCAUUUUGAUUCUAGAGUUUUAACGCAUAGAAGAAAAGGAAAGGGAUAGAUAAAGAAGAAACGACUACUUGCUUAUUUAGUUAUAUAUUAUAUUUAUACUAUAUUUAUUUACUUGUUUAAUACUUACCUAUGAUCUUUUUGAAAUAAUAAUUUUUAUAUGUAGGAUAGUUGGAUAAAUUUGGUUUUCUCUUUUUUUCUUUUUGUAAUUUAGAUACAUAUCUAUGGCGAUCCAAUUCAAGGAUUGAAGGAAAAUCCUACGAUGGGAUUUAAAAGUUUCAUGAGAGCGAAGAUACACGCGUCUCUCUCUCUCUCUCUCUCUACACAUACAUACAUACAUGUGUGUGUGUGUGUAUCUGAUGGUUACCUUUUCACGUAGCUACAUGUACAUAUAUAUAUAUAUAUAUAUACACACGCACAUGUAUGUAUAUAUGUAUGUACAAAUACAUGAGAAAAGAAAUGGCUUGUUCCUAAAGUAAAGAGAAACGACGAGAAAUGUUCGAGCGCAGUUGAAUUCCACAGACGCUCUUCUACGAUCUUCCUUGUCACGGAUGAAGUCACGGUAAUUGCGAAUUUAAAAGAUUUUGUCAACGCUUAGAAAGGAAGAGGGCGUCUCUUCAGUCAUUAAACGAAUACAUACGUACAUACACAUAUACGUACAUAUGUACGUACAUAUACAAAUGCAUAGAUGGAUAUAAUAUAACUGUGCGAUAUCCUGUCUCACUCUCUUCUCUAAAUUCAAUUCCGUUGACCUAGAUUAGGUGGUACGUGACACGAUGGAGAUUCGCCGUAGGUUCCCUCUCGUUGUCCCUAUCUAUGUAUCUCUCUAUCUAACUCCAUCUUUGUUCAUCUAUUUCUCUCUCUCUCUCUCUUUCUAUCUAUCUAUCUAUCUAUCUAUGUAUCUAUCUAUAUAUAUAUAUCUCUCUAUCUCUCUAUCUCUUUGUCUCUCUUUCUCUUUCUCUCUCUGUUUCUCUUUUGAUUCUCCUAUCCAAGCAGGUUCAACACGUUUCGUUCAGAUAGACGUAAUACUACAUGCACUUGCGUGAGAUAGUAUAUGUACGAUUAAACUCAACGGAUUCGUACGAGUUCGAGAUUUCUUUCAUACUUGAAAAUCUCGUAAUUUGAAAUCGAAACGAUUGACAUGAUCCAAACGAUACGAUAAUAUCUUGUAGCGAAUAAAUACAUAUGCGUAUAGAGCGUUAUAUUCGUAAGAAGAGAGAUAAUUCGUUAAUAGUCCAAGGCACGUGGACAAAGAUACGAAUGAAGAUAAAGAUAAAGAUAAAGAUAAAGAUAAAGAUAAAGAUAAAGAUAGAGUAAGUAAGAGAGAGAUAGCUAGAGAGACAGAACAGAAAACGAGCAGAGAACGGACACAUGGAAAACAAACGAAUAGAUAGAGAGAAAAUAGGAAAGAACGAAAAAAAAGGAGAAAUAAAAUAAAAAAAAAAAAGAGCAAGGAAAAAGAAAAAAUCGAUGAAUAAUUUCCGACUGGUGGACGAACGAAAAGCCAUCGAUUGAAAUUUUCAUCAGUCUUUCGCACUCUUUCCUUCUCUCUCUCUCUCUCUCUCUCUCUCUCUCUCUUGCUCGAUUAUUUAUUCAUGGCAUAACGAACGGCCGAGCAGACAACGAUACAGACCAACGAGCUCUAGCUAACACGAGAGAAAAAGAAGCAUGAAGAGUAGGAGAAGGUGAUAGGGACGGAAGCGGAACGGAACGGGACGGGCUGAACUGAGCUGAGCUGAGCUGAGCUGAGCGAGUCGGAUCGGAUCGGAUCGGAUUCGAUCGGAUCGGAUCGGAUCGGUAAAAAGCAAGAAAAAAAAAAGAUCCCCGUAGUGUGGUGUCGUUUGAGACAUUAUAGGUUGUUUACACGCCUUAAACCUGUAAAUUUUAAAGGGAACAAGCCAGUUUUAAGUCGCCUCGACUUUAUACGAACGGUUCUAAAAACGGAAUCUGAGAGGAUGAUCGAAUCAGAAUGAGAAAGAGAGAGAGAGAGAGAGAGAGAGAGAGAGAGAGAGAGAGAGAGAGAGAGAGAGAGAGAGAGAGAGAGAGGGAAGAGGAAGUUAUUCUACGAGUAAGUGCAGGAAUGUCGACGAGUGAAAUAUUUACUGACGUUCUAUCUCGUCGUCCAUCUUUUUCUUCGCACUUCGCUACUUCCGCCCUAGUGUGUGUAGUUUCUAAUCGUUUGAGUGUUAUUUGCAUCCUAAGUUUAUGCGAAUAAAAUACACGUAGUUACUAUGUAUAUCUAUAUAUGUACAUAUGUUUGUGUGUAUAUGUGUGUGUGCGUAUGUGUGUGUGUGUGUAUAUAUAUAUAUAUAUAUAGAUGCAUCCAUUCUUCGUGUUACUAUACGUGUUACUUCGAGUCGAACGAGGAAUAGAAUCAAAGAGACGUUUAUUAUCUAUUAUUUAUAUGUAUGUAUGUGCUUAUAGUAUUUCAUUUUUCCGAAGGUCUAUGCAAUAAUGACAAAUUUUCCUUUGCGAAAGGAAAAACGUGGAAUGACGAAGGAAAAUAAGUAACAAUAUCUUGGAUAUGUUGUUAUUACAAUUUUUAUUAUUAUUAUAAUUAAUAAUAAAUAAUUAUUAUUACUACUA